This 69-nucleotide transfer RNA is filed under the name Symphurus orientalis (pygmy tongue-sole). Its description in RNAcentral is "tRNA-Asp". The record is from RNAcentral. Lineage: Eukaryota; Metazoa; Chordata; Actinopteri; Pleuronectiformes; Cynoglossidae.
GAAGCGCUAGUAAAGAAAUUACGUUACUUUGUCAAAGUGAGGUUGCAGGUGAGACUCUUGCGCGUUUUA